This 306-nucleotide ribosomal RNA is filed under the name Bacillus pumilus. RNAcentral's name for it is "bacterial SSU rRNA". It matches the Rfam family "Bacterial small subunit ribosomal RNA", at positions 1047 to 1352 of the family's 1533-position model. Lineage: Bacteria; Bacillati; Bacillota; Bacilli; Caryophanales; Bacillaceae. The record is from RNAcentral.
GGUACGUACACGCUUUGUAGUCGUGAGAUGUUGGGUUAAGUCCCGCAACGAGCGCAACCCUUGAUCUUAGUUGCCAGCAUUUAGUUGGGCACUCUAAGGUGACUGCCGGUGACAAACCGGAGGAAGGUGGGGAUGACGUCAAAUCAUCAUGCCCCUUAUGACCUGGGCUACACACGUGCUACAAUGGACAGAACAAAGGGCUGCAAGACCGCAAGGUUUAGCCAAUCCCAUAAAUCUGUUCUCAGUUCGGAUCGCAGUCUGCAACUCGACUGCGUGAAGCUGGAAUCGCUAGUAAUCGCGGAUCAG